This 301-nucleotide ribosomal RNA is filed under the name uncultured bacterium. RNAcentral describes it as "partial 16S ribosomal RNA". It matches the Rfam family "Bacterial small subunit ribosomal RNA", at positions 509 to 809 of the family's 1533-position model. The record is from RNAcentral.
CAGCAGCCGCGGUAAUACGAAGGGGGCUAGCGUUGUUCGGAUUUACUGGGCGUAAAGGCCGCGUAGGCGGACUGAUAAGUCAGGGGUGAAAUCCCAAGGCUCAACCUUGGAACUGCCUUUGAUACUGUUUGUCUUGUGUUCGAGAGAGGUAAGUGGAACUGCGAGUGUAGAGGUGAAAUUCGUAGAUAUUCGCAAGAACACCAGUGGCGAAGGCGGCUUACUGGCUCGAUACUGACGCUGAGGCGCGAAAGCGUGGGGAGCAAACAGGAUUAGAUACCCCCGUAGUCCCUGUCUCUUAUAU